RNAcentral lists this ribosomal RNA (519 nucleotides) under uncultured bacterium. RNAcentral describes it as "partial 16S ribosomal RNA". It matches the Rfam family "Bacterial small subunit ribosomal RNA", at positions 28 to 507 of the family's 1533-position model. The record is from RNAcentral.
GACGAACGCUGGCGGCGUGCCUAAUACAUGCAAGUCGAGCGAGUCUGCCUUGAAGAUCGGAGUGCUUGCACUCUGUAAAACAAGAUACAGGCUAGCGGCGGACGGGUGAGUAACACGUGGGUAACCUGCCCAAGAGAUCGGGAUACCACCUGGAGACAGAUGCUCAUACCGGAUAACAGCAGAUGAUGCCUAUCAACUGUUUAAAAGAUGGUUCUGCUAUCACUCUUGGAUGGACCUGCGGUGCAUUAGCUAGUUGGUAGGCUAACGGCCUACCAAGUCGAUGAUGCAUAGCCGAGUGCAGAGACGGAUAGGCCACAUUGGAACUGAGACACGGCCCAAACUCCUACGGGAGGCAGCAGUAGGGAAUCUGCCACAAUGGACGCAAGUCUGAUGGAGCAACGGCGCGUGAGUGAAGAAGGGUUUCGGCUCGUAAAGCUCUGUUGUUGGUGAAGAAGGACAGGGGUAGUAACUGACCUGUGUUUGACGGUAAUCAAUUAGAAAGUCACGGCUAACUACGUG